Molecule: long non-coding RNA, 2630 nt
Filed under: Cricetulus griseus (Chinese hamster)
Lineage: Eukaryota; Metazoa; Chordata; Mammalia; Rodentia; Cricetidae
Description: lncRNA (ENSCGRG00015029992.1)
Source: RNAcentral
ACUUGUCUUAGAAGCCCACCUUUUACUUGAGGUAGCUUUUUCUUCAGUAUGCUUAACUGUGCAGAAACUUCUCCCAGUGCCAGACUCCCCUGCAAGUUAGAAACAAAUUAAGUUUUAUUGUUUGUUCCAUAAGUAGAAAAAUAAUAUCGAGAUGAUUGCCUUGCAAUUCAGUGUUGCUUGGUACAGAGGCAAUGGUUGAGCAAUUUGAGUGCUUCAAAAUUGUGAUAAUUUGUUAUUACACAUUCUUAUAAAACUAUAAGCCCUGAGGCUGUUGGUUGCAGUCCAUAACUUGGUGGAAAAACACUUACUUGUCAUCAAACAUGGAUAAGUCAAGCUGGUGCCCAACUAGAGGCCUCAUCCCUACUAACUACCAUUUGUAGUUCAAAAGGCACUCUGCACGUAGUGGAGGAGGAAGGCUCGGGGAUCUAUGCGGAAGAGAAGGCAAAAGGAUCCCAAGAACCAGAGGUGCUGGAUGACUACAAGGUGACAGCUUCCCCAAGACACAACUGGACUGAUGCACUAUGAGCUCAGAGACUGUGGUACUGCACGUCGGACCUUGCACAGGCUCAUAUCAGAUGGGAUACCAGCGCUGAGGAGGGGGAGUAGAUACAAGGUCCACCGCUAACCAACACGUUAUUUGCAAUUGAUAUCUGCUGGCAGAGGGAAAAUCGGUUUUCUACAAUGAACCAUGACUGGAUCUAUCAACCAUAAUCCAGGGAAGGCCCCCACCGUCCCCCCCCCACUACUAACUUCAUUUUAUCAUCUUUGUCUUAUUUGUUGUUUUAUUUGUUUUUUUGUUUGUGUUUGAAAAAGAGAGAAAACACGCAAUUGGGUGGGUAGAGAGGUGAGGAAAAUCUGGAAAGAGUUUGGGAAGAGGAAAAAUGUGAUGAAAAUGUUAUUUUAUGAAAAACAUUUUAAGUAAAAAGUUUAAAAAAAAAAAGCCGGGCAGUGGUGGCACAUACCUUUAGUCCCAGCACUAGGGAGGCAGAGGCAAGAUGAUCUCUUUGAGUUCAAGACCAGCCUGGUCUACAAGAGCUAGCUCCAGGACAGCCUCUAAAGCCACAGAGAAACCCCGCCUCGAAAAACCCAAAAAAACAAAACAACAACAACAAAAAACCCAAAAAAUCAAAACAAAUUGUCAAUGAACAUUUUAUUUUACUGAAAGUGUUAUUCUACUUUUAUUAGUCAUUACUAGCAACUUUACUUUUAAUAGAAAUCAUAACUUGUAUUUGUAUUUGUAGGUGAAUUUUAAGAUGGAAAUAUUUGUGAAGGGCUACUUGUUAGUGUAACAACAGUGGCCAGAUCCAUGGGUUUUAGGGGGACAUUGGCAGGAAGGUCUCCGUGAGCAAGGACCCUCUGGGACUGAAGGCUUCCUGAGGCCAGAGAUUUUUGAUUUAUGUACUCCCGGCUCUGUCUAACAAAGUGCCUGACGUAUUGUUAAAGAGAUCUCUGAGAGUGUUUGCUGCUUUUUCCCCCCUCUUUGUACACAAAUUUUCUCUUUCAGCCAAUGUUUUCACAAAAAGAGAAUGACUUUGCUGCUUUUUGAUGAACAGCUGGGUUCUGCUGCCUAAUGCGUUCUUGAAAGAUGAAGUAAUCUUGAGAACUCUGACAUGCUUGGGUGACUGUUUCCUACUCUCUUGCUCAUAGUUUUCAGUGACAUUAUUUAUGAAACUUUUCCUUUAUUUAAUAAUUAAAUUAGAUCAGAAAUGUAUCUAAUAUUAAAUGUUUAAGUAUCCAAAUAAAAGAAUUCUCAGUGUUCAGAGUUGAAAAGGGGAAAGGGUCAUUAUAUUCCAUUAUUGUUGUUAUGUGUGUUGGGAGGGUGCUCAUAGGGGGCCAGAUGACAGUCUUGUGGAGUAGGUUCUUUCUUUUCCUGGGCUCCCGGGACUGAACUCAGAUUAUCAGGUUGGGUGACAAAUGCCUUUACCAUCUCUCUGGCACUAGAUUUUUAUUGUUGCUAAAAAUUUCAGUUGAUUAAUGUCUUUCCUAGUCUACGACCCGUAGCCAUCAAUAAAUGUCAUCAGCACCAAAAUUAAAAGUGUAUUUCAUAAUCAAAUGAAACUUUUGAGAAAUAAUUUCUCAAGGGCUUUCCAUAACUGGAGGGUGUCUGUGUGGAGUGCUCACGGGACUCUGCCUGAAUCAUGGCAGGUGGCCGCCUGUCUAUGCAUGUGAAUGGCACCCGGUUUCAUUGGCCUUCCUGAGUAAUUACAGUGCCAUUGGCCCUGAGCCAGCAUCAGAGCUUCAAAAAUGAGUAGAGACAUCAUAUCCAAAACCUAUGUGUUAUGGAUACAAUAUUGGUAUGAACACAGACAAAAUACAAUGAUGUAAAUAAAACAAUGGGUGUCUAGAUAUUGAUAAUGCCCAGCCCUAUAUUCAUACUUCUCCCGGCCUGUGUGGGUUUGGAUGGGAGGACUGGGUGAUAUACCACAUCCCCCUUUUCUGCUUUGUAUUUUAAGACAGAGUGAAGUUGUCUAGGCUGGACAUGAAUCUGCUCUGUAGCCCAGGCAGGCUGUAAGUUUGUGGUCUUGAAGGGACCAGCUCCCCAUUUAGGCAGCCAUAACAGCCAAACACAUGUGCCUUUAUUGUCUGACCUUGUCUUAGUCACUAGGAGGUCAGACGUCUGCCUCAUGGCA